This 1183-nucleotide long non-coding RNA is filed under the name Dermacentor andersoni. Its description in RNAcentral is "uncharacterized LOC126535353". The record is from RNAcentral. Lineage: Eukaryota; Metazoa; Arthropoda; Arachnida; Ixodida; Ixodidae.
AAAAAAUGCUAUACCAACUGAAAACCUGCCAAGGACGUCAUGUUAUGAUGAGAACAAGGAUGCUCAUAUGAAAGCUUUCACUGGCAAGACUUCGCCGACGUGCGUGUCGGUCAGCCAGAGUAAGUUAAUUUGACUGCAUGGUGCAGCACUUAUAUGCUUAUGGUACAUACACCAUGCCUACAAGCAUGCAAUAGAUGUCAACACCUUUUAAUGCAUUACAGAAUGAAUCAAGCAAAGAAACUGCUGCCUCCCCAUUAGAAGCAAAGAUGUUGCCCCAUGCACCUGUCAGCACGACCACCAUGGACGAUCUCCCAUCCCCUGACAGCAACGGCAUGGACCAAAUAAGUGACAAAGGAAAUAUGGUAAUUUCUUUUUGUAUAUGUAUGUGUUGUGGUAGCUGUCUUUACCUAGACGGUGGCAUGCUUUCUGGAUUUACAUCGUAAAAGCAUUGUAGCACGUGGUGUGUGAUGGGUGCACAUUAACUGCAACUUGUGCACACAUUGCUUAACAUCUGGUUCCUUGAACUGAACUCUAUCUGACAUUGCAGGACGAUUUCCCAUCCCCUAACAGCAUGGACCAAAGCCUUGCAAACACCAUAAGGGACAAGGACAUAGCAAAUAUGGCAAUUUAUUUUUUCUAUAUAUUUGUGAUGUGGUAGCUGUCUUUACCUAGCCAGCAGCAUGUUUUCUGGAUUAACUUCGUGAAAGGAUUGUGGUGUGUGAUGGGUGCAAAUUAACUGAUGCAAAAAGCCUGGCUUUCCUACUUCCAACAUUGAAUUUAAAACAUUGACGUGCAUAAUUGGAAUGACAAAAAGAAGCUGCAUCUCACGUCAGAUAUGUCAGACAUUAUAACUCUUGCUUUUGUUUUGUGACAGGAAUGUGCUUGCCAACCUGGCCCCCGGACAUUAAUGGCAGAGUACUCAAGAGAAGAAAAAGACGUGGCAAAUUUUCUACUAGAAAUGGCUUCAGGGACAAGGCUUACAGAAAGCAAGGCUGUCCAAGUGACAUCGGAUACUUUUCCACAGAAGUUUGUGAACACGAUAAAUAGUAGCAACGUAAAUACAUUCACAGGCCUGCCAUCAUUCGAUGUUCUGAAUGCUCGUGUGACGUGCUACACAAAAAUUCAUCCACUUUCAGGACGGCACCAGUUAUGUGUAAAAACAAUUGCAUUGACAUUGGUGAAA